Molecule: non-coding RNA, 62 nt
Filed under: Lankesteria abbotti
Lineage: Eukaryota; Apicomplexa; Conoidasida; Eugregarinorida; Lecudinidae
Source: RNAcentral
UUUUUUUUUUUUUUUUUUUUUUUUUUUUUUUUUAAAUCUCAUCAUUCCGUCCUUUUUUCUAA